This 734-nucleotide ribosomal RNA is filed under the name uncultured soil bacterium. Its description in RNAcentral is "bacterial SSU rRNA". It matches the Rfam family "Bacterial small subunit ribosomal RNA", at positions 49 to 762 of the family's 1533-position model. The record is from RNAcentral.
UAACACAUGCAAGUCGAACGCGAAAGUCCCGCAAGGGAUGAGUAGAGUGGCAAACGGGUGAGUAACACGUGGGUGACCUGCCUUCGAGUGGGGGAUAACGUCCCGAAAGGGACGCUAAUACCGCAUGACAUCCUGCCUUUGAAGAGGUGGAGAUCAAAGCUGGGGAUCGCAAGACCUAGCGCUCAAAGAGGGGCCCGCGCCUGAUUAGCUAGUUGGCGAGGUAACGGCUCACCAAGGCAACGAUCAGUAUCCGGCCUGAGAGGGCGGACGGACACACUGGGACUGAGACACGGCCCAGACUCCUACGGGAGGCAGCAGUGGGGAAUUGUUCGCAAUGGGCGCAAGCCUGACGACGCAACGCCGCGUGGAGGAUGAAGACCUUCGGGUCGUAAACUCCUUUCGAUCGAGACGAAUGGCCUCCGGGUGAACAGCCCGGAGGAGUGACGGUACCGAGAGAAGAAGCCCCGGCUAACUCCGUGCCAGCAGCCGCGGUAAUACGGGGGGGGCAAGCGUUGUUCGGAAUUACUGGGCGUAAAGGGCUCGUAGGUGGCCAACUAAGUCAGACGUGAAAUCCCUCGGCUUAACCGGGGAACUGCGUCUGAUACUGGAUGGCUUGAGUUUGGGAGAGGGAUGCGGAAUUCCAGGUGUAGCGGUGAAAUGUGUAGAUAUCUGGAGGAACACCGGUGGCGAAGGCGGCAUCCUGGACCAACACUGACACUGAGGAGCGAAAGCCA